CCCUCUCUUUCCCCCUCAAACCCUAACACCUUCUUCACCAUCUUUCUCCCUCAUAUCUAUGGCCACCAUCACCUCCAAUGAAAAAACUAAUUCCAUCUUCGUAUUCUUCAUCCCACGGGCUUUCUAAUGAACCGGUUGGCGUAGACCCAAGGCCAGUCAUGAGGGAAACAUAUAACAUGUUUAAAGAUGGUGGAGAUCCUAAAAACCUUGUAUCUGCAAUCUCUAAUAGCAGAGAAAAAGAAAUUUUUUUAUGCUUCACUAUAUGCCGG
Long non-coding RNA from Vicia villosa (hairy vetch), 269 nucleotides. RefSeq lists it as uncharacterized. The transcript is spliced from 3 exons. NCBI's taxonomy places the organism in Eukaryota, Viridiplantae, Streptophyta, Magnoliopsida, Fabales, Fabaceae. The record is from RefSeq and is a predicted model, not a curated record.